GGAUGAACGCUAGCGGCAGGCCUAACACAUGCAAGUCGAGGGGUAACAGAGAAAAGCUUGCUUUUUUGCUGACGACCGGCGCACGGGUGCGUAACGCGUAUACAAUCUACCUUUUACUGGGAGAUAGCCUUUGGAAACGAAGAUUAAUAUCCCAUAGUAUGUUUACUUCGCAUGGAGUAGAUAUUAUAAAGAUUACGGUAAAAGAUGAGUAUGCGUCCUAUUAGCUAGAUGGUAAGGUAACGGCUUACCAUGGCAACGAUAGGUAGGGGCCCUGAGAGGGGGAUCCCCCACACUGGUACUGAGACACGGACCAGACUCCUACGGGAGGCAGCAGUGAGGAAUAUUGGACAAUGGAGGCAACUCUGAUCCAGCCAUGCCGCGUGCAGGAAGACUGCCCUAUGGGUUGUAAACUACUUUUAUAUAGGAAGAAACCUCUUUAUUUAUAAAGAGCUGACGGUACUAUAAGAAUAAGCAUCGGCUAACUCCGUGCCAGCAGCCGCGGUAAUACGGAGGAUCCAAGCGUUAUCCGGAAUCAUUGGGUUUAAAGGGUCCGUAGGUGGAUGAUUAAGUCAGAGGUGAAAUCCUGCAGCUCAACUGUAGAAUUGCCUUUGAAACUGGUUAUCUUGAGUUAUUAUGAAGUAGUUAGAAUAUGUAGUGUAGCGGUGAAAUGCAUAGAUAUUACAUAGAAUACCGAUUGCGAAGGCAGAUUACUAAUAAUAUACUGACACUGAGGGACGAAAGCGUGGGGAGCGAACAGGAUUAGAUCCCCUGGUAGUCCGCGCCGUAAACGAUGGUCACUAGCUGUUCGGAACUUGUUUCUGAGCUCAGUGAUUAAGAGAAAUUGAUAAGUGACCCACCUGGGGAGUACGAUCGCAAGAUUGAAACUCAAAGGAAUUGACGGGGGCCCGCACAAGCGGUGGAGCAUGUGGUUUAAUUCGAUGAUACGCGAGGAACCUUACCAGGGCUUAAAUGUAAGUUGCAUAAGCUAGAGAUAGCUUUUUCUUCGGACCACUUACAAGGUGCUGCAUGGUUGUCGUCAGCUCGUGCCGUGAGGUGUCAGGUUAAGUCCUAUAACGAGCGCAACCCCUACCGUUAGUUGCCAGCAUGUAAAGAUGGGGACUCUAGCGGGACUGCCGGUGCAAACCGAGAGGAAGGUGGGGAUGACGUCAAAUCAUCACGGCCCUUACGUCCUGGGCUACACACGUGCUACAAUGGUAUAUACAGAGAGCAGCCACACCGUAAGGUGGAGCGAAUCUACAAAACCGGUCUCAGUUCGGAUCGGGGUCUGCAACUCGACCCCGUGAAGCUGGAAUCGCUAGUAAUCGGAUAUCAGCCAAGGUCCGGUGAAUACGUUCCCGGGCCUUGUACACACCGCCCGUCAAGCCAUGGAAGCUGGGGGUGCCUGAAGUCGGUGACCGAAAGGAGCUGCCUAGGGUAAAACUAGUGACUGGGGU
RNAcentral lists this ribosomal RNA (1454 nucleotides) under uncultured prokaryote. Its description in RNAcentral is "partial 16S ribosomal RNA". It matches the Rfam family "Bacterial small subunit ribosomal RNA". The record is from RNAcentral.